AAAGAGCUGGGAAAUGCCAAGGGGCAGGUACUGCGAGAGAAAGAUUUAAUGAAAAGGGAAAAAGCAGAUCCUAAUCAGGGGAGGUGAUGUGCAGAGAGGAGUUCUGAAGGAAAGUGAGUGGGAAUUGUGCCUUUUAAAGUCUGUAGAAACUAAUGGUACAUGAUAAGAAUUGGAUUUCAGCUUCUAAAUCACUCUAAGACUUUUGGCAACUAUAACCCACAAGUCUUUGAAUCCACAGAGAUGAGGAAGAAGCUUCAGCAGGAGAUUUUUGCAAAGGCUCGACAGUGGUUGCUGUGAGGACAGCCUGGCAGGGUGAAGUCAUUUUUAUAUGUCCUGGUUGUAUUUCAUCAUGCUGAUGUCACCAGUGUCAAUAUGGUAUUUAUGAAGCUGGAGGUCAAUAUUCAAACUGGGUUUAGGCUCCACUGGCAAAGCUGUAGCUCUGGCUGCAUUCGAUCCUCUUUGGCUGACAUGGAGCCAGAGGGGUUUUUCCAUGUCAUUCAGUUAAAGGAGUUUCCACUGCCUGGCUUUCUGCUCUCACUGCACCAUAAUGCAGUGACAACAUGCUUUUAGAAUAACAAAAACAAACCAAAGCAAAAUAAUUACAAUAAAAAAAUCCUCUGAGGAAAGAGUAGGAAAAAAACAACCACAAAACCAAAAAAACCCCAAACAUCAAACCAGCAAAGAGACUGAAUGUGAGAAAACAGCCAAGGAAUAAUGUGAAAAAUUGAUGAGCAGAGCUACAGAUACUGGAAAACAAUAAACAAGCAAAAUCUGCUUC
Molecule: long non-coding RNA, 778 nt
Organism: Apus apus (common swift)
Lineage: Eukaryota; Metazoa; Chordata; Aves; Apodiformes; Apodidae
Exons: 2
Source: RefSeq, a predicted model, not a curated record